RNAcentral lists this transfer RNA (73 nucleotides) under Patescibacteria group bacterium. RNAcentral describes it as "tRNA-Ala". It matches the Rfam family "tRNA". Rfam says of the family: Transfer RNA (tRNA) molecules are approximately 80 nucleotides in length. The record is from RNAcentral.
GGGCUUGUAGCUCAAUUGGCAGAGCACCCGGUUUGCAUCCGGGAGGUUAGCGGUUCGAUUCCGCUCAAGUCCA